CAUGGCAUGUUCAAACACCAGUUCCUGUAUGAUCACCAAAGUUAAGUAACAUAGAGUCUGGUCAGUAUCUUGAUGGGUGACUGCUUGGGAAUACCAGGUGCUGUAAG
This is a non-coding RNA of Acanthosepion pharaonis, 107 nucleotides long. Lineage: Eukaryota; Metazoa; Mollusca; Cephalopoda; Sepiida; Sepiidae. The record is from the annotation of a GenBank genome assembly.